Molecule: ribosomal RNA, 584 nt
Filed under: uncultured bacterium
Lineage: Bacteria
Description: partial 16S ribosomal RNA
Rfam family: Bacterial small subunit ribosomal RNA
Source: RNAcentral
UGGGGAAUUUUGGACAAUGGGCGAAAGCCUGAUCCAGCAAUGCCGCGUGUGUGAAGAAGGCCUUCGGGUUGUAAAGCACUUUUGUCCGGAAAGAAAUCCUCUGGGUUAAUACCUCGGGGGGAUGACGGUACCGGAAGAAUAAGCACCGGCUAACUACGUGCCAGCAGCCGCGGUAAUACGUAGGGUGCAAGCGUUAAUCGGAAUUACUGGGCGUAAAGCGUGCGCAGGCGGUUUUGUAAGACGGAUGUGAAAUCCCCGGGCUUAACCUGGGAACUGCAUUCGUGACUGCAAGGCUAGAGUAUGGCAGAGGGGGGUAGAAUUCCACGUGUAGCAGUGAAAUGCGUAGAGAUGUGGAGGAAUACCGAUGGCGAAGGCAGCCCCCUGGGCCAAUACUGACGCUCAUGCACGAAAGCGUGGGGAGCAAACAGGAUUAGAUACCCUGGUAGUCCACGCCCUAAACGAUGUCAACUAGUUGUUGGGGAUUCAUUCCUUAGUAACGUAGCUAACGCGUGAAGUUGACCGCCUGGGGAGUACGGUCGCAAGAUUAAAACUUAAAUGAAUUGACGGGGUCAUAGCUGUUUCCU